This 468-nucleotide ribosomal RNA is filed under the name uncultured bacterium. Its description in RNAcentral is "partial 16S ribosomal RNA". It matches the Rfam family "Bacterial small subunit ribosomal RNA", at positions 28 to 507 of the family's 1533-position model. The record is from RNAcentral.
GACGAACGCUGGCGGCGUGCUUAACACAUGCAAGUCGAACGGAAAGGCCCUGCUUUUGUGGGGUGCUCGAGUGGCGAACGGGUGAGUAACACGUGAGUAACCUGCCCUUGACUUUGGGAUAACUUCAGGAAACUGGGGCUAAUACCGGAUAGGAGCUCCUGCUGCAUGGUGGGGGUUGGAAAGUUUCGGCGGUUGGGGAUGGACUCGCGGCUUAUCAGCUUGUUGGUGGGGUAGUGGCUUACCAAGGCUUUGACGGGUAGCCGGCCUGAGAGGGUGACCGGCCACAAUGGGACUGAGAUACGGCCCAGACUCCUACGGGAGGCAGCAGGGGGGAAUAUUGCACAAUGGGCGGAAGCCUGAUGCAGCAACGCCGCGUGCGGGAUAACGGCCUUCGGGUUGUAAACCGCUUUCGCCUGUGACGAAGCGUGAGUGACGGUAAUGGGUAAAGAAGCACCGGCUAACUACGUG